RNAcentral lists this ribosomal RNA (628 nucleotides) under uncultured bacterium. Its description in RNAcentral is "bacterial SSU rRNA". It matches the Rfam family "Bacterial small subunit ribosomal RNA", at positions 91 to 716 of the family's 1533-position model. The record is from RNAcentral.
UCGAGCGGCGGACGGGUGAGUAAUGCUUAGGAAUCUACCGAGUAGUUGGGGAUAGCCAUUGGAAACGAUGAUUAAUACCGCAUAUAUCCUACGGGGGAAAGCAGGGGACCUUCGGGCCUUGCGCUAUUCGAUGAGCCUGAGUGAGAUUAGCUAGUUGGUGGGGUAAAGGCCUACCAAGGCGACGAUCUCUAGCUGGUCUGAGAGGAUGAUCAGCCACACUGGGACUGAGACACGGCCCAGACUCCUACGGGAGGCAGCAGUGGGGAAUAUUGCACAAUGGACGAAAGUCUGAUGCAGCCAUGCCGCGUGUGUGAAGAAGGCCUUCGGGUUGUAAAGCACUUUCAGCGAGGAGGAAAGGUCAGUAAGUAAUAUUUGCUGGCUGUGACGUUACUCGCAGAAGAAGCACCGGCUAAUUUAGUGCCAGCAGCCGCGGUAAUACUAAAGGUGCAAGCGUUAAUCGGAAUUACUGGGCGUAAAGCGCGCGUAGGUGGUUUGUUAAGUUGGAUGUGAAAGCCCAGGGCUCAACCUUGGAACUGCAUUCAAAACUGACUCACUAGAGUACGAGAGAGGUUAGUGGAAUUUCCUGUGUAGCGGUGAAUGCGUAGAGAUGGGAAGGAACACCAGUGGC